RNAcentral lists this ribosomal RNA (1181 nucleotides) under uncultured bacterium. RNAcentral describes it as "bacterial SSU rRNA". It matches the Rfam family "Bacterial small subunit ribosomal RNA", at positions 61 to 1223 of the family's 1533-position model. The record is from RNAcentral.
GUCGACGGGCGUGCUUCUUCGGGAGCCGUCAGUGGCGAACGGGUGCGUAAUACGUGAGUGACCUGCCCUUCUUUGGGGGAUAACCCGGGGAAACCCGAGCUAAUACCGCAUAGGCCGGGGGGCCGCAUGGCCUGCUGGUGAAAGGAGUGAGGCUUAGCCUGGCUCUGAGGAAGGAGGGGCUCGCGGCGUAUCAGCUAGCUGGUGGGGUAACGGCCCACCAGGGCUCUGACGCGUAGCCGGUCUGAGAGGAUGAUCGGCCACAUUGGGACUGAGAUACGGCCCAGACUCCUACGGGAGGCAGCAGUGGGGAAUCUUGCGCAAUGGGCGAAAGCCUGACGCAGCGACGCCGCGUGCGGGAGGAAGCUCUUCGGGGUGUAAACCGCUGUCAGGAGGGACGAAGGAUGAGCCUAAAGCUCAUCUUGACGGUACCUUCAGAGGAAGCACCGGCUAACUCCGUGCCAGCAGCCGCGGUAAUACGGAGGGUGCGAGCGUUGUUCGGAAUUACUGGGCGUAAAGCGCGCGUAGGCGGCAGCGCAAGUCUGGCUGUGAAAUCCCGCGGCUCAACUGCGGGGCUGCAGCGGAUACUGCGUUGCUGGAGAGAGGCAGAGGCCAGUGGAAUUCCGGGUGUAGCGGUGGAAUGCGUAGAGAUCCGGAAGAACACCGGAGGCGAAGGCGGCUGGCUGGGCCUUUUCUGACGCUGAGGCGCGAAAGCGUGGGGAGCGAACAGGAUUAGAUACCCUGGUAGUCCACGCUGUAAACGAUGGGCACUAGAGGGCGGGGGGAUCGAGCCCUUCGCUCUCGCAGCUAACGCGUUAAGUGCCCCGCCUGGGAAGUACGGUCGCAAGGCUAAAACUCAAAGGAAUUGACGGGGGCUCACACAAGCGGUGGAGCAUGUGGUUUAAUUCGAAGCAACGCGCAGAACCUUACCUGGGUUUGAAAUGGCCGGAUUAUCUUGGUGAAAGCCGAGUACGCCCUUCGGGGUGGAACGGUCACAGGUGCUGCAUGGCUGUCGUCAGCUCGUGUCGUGAGAUGUCGGGUUAAGUCCCUUAACGAGCGAAACCUUUGCCCUUAGUUACUAACGGGUUAUGCCGAGGCCUCUAAGGGGACUGCCGGUGUCAAACCGGAGGAAGGUGGAGAUGACGUCAAGUCCGCAUGGCCUUUAUGCCCAGGGCCACACACGU